GCUGGGCGUGGUGGUGCGCGCCUGUAAUCCCAGCUAUUUGGGAGGCUGAGGCGGGAGAAUUGCUUGAACCCGGGAGCGGAGGUUGCAGUGAGCCGAGAUCAUGCCAUUGCACUCCAGCCUGGGUGACAGAGUGAGACUCUGUCUCAA
Molecule: unclassified non-coding RNA, 147 nt
Organism: Papio anubis (olive baboon)
Lineage: Eukaryota; Metazoa; Chordata; Mammalia; Primates; Cercopithecidae
Rfam family: Metazoan signal recognition particle RNA
About the family: The signal recognition particle (SRP) is a universally conserved ribonucleoprotein.
Source: Ensembl